UACGUAGGGUGCAAGCGUUGUCCGGAAUUAUUGGGCGUAAAGAGCUUGUAGGCGGUUUGUUGCGUCGGGAGUGAAAACUCAGGGCUUAACCCUGAGCCUGCUUCCGAUACGGGCAGACUAGAGGUAUGCAGGGGAGAACGGAAUUCCUGGUGUAGCGGUGAAAUGCGCAGAUAUCAGGAGGAACACCGGUGGCGAAGGCGGUUCUCUGGGCAUUACCUGACGCUGAGGAGCGAAAGUGUGGGGAGCGAACAGG
This 253-nucleotide ribosomal RNA is filed under the name uncultured bacterium. RNAcentral describes it as "partial 16S ribosomal RNA". It matches the Rfam family "Bacterial small subunit ribosomal RNA", at positions 524 to 776 of the family's 1533-position model. The record is from RNAcentral.